Molecule: ribosomal RNA, 413 nt
Filed under: uncultured bacterium
Lineage: Bacteria
Description: bacterial SSU rRNA
Rfam family: Bacterial small subunit ribosomal RNA
Source: RNAcentral
UAAGGCCUUCGGGUCGUAAAACUCUGUCCUCAAGGAAGAUAAUGACGGUACUUGAGGAGGAAGCCCCGGCUAACUACGUGCCAGCAGCCGCGGUAAUACGUAGGGGGCUAGCGUUAUCCGGAUUUACUGGGCGUAAAGGGUGCGUAGGCGGUCUUUCAAGUCAGGAGUGAAAGGCUACGGCUCAACCGUAGUAAGCUCUUGAAACUGGGAGACUUGAGUGCAGGAGAGGAGAGUGGAAUUCCUAGUGUAGCGGUGAAAUGCGUAGAUAUUAGGAGGAACACCAGUUGCGAAGGCGGCUCUCUGGACUGUAACUGACGCUGAGGCACGAAAGCGUGGGGAGCAAACAGGAUUAGAUACCCUGGUAGUCCACGCUGUAAACGAUGAGUACUAGGUGUCGGGGGUUACCCCCUUCG